This 86-nucleotide transfer RNA is filed under the name Sutterella wadsworthensis. RNAcentral's name for it is "tRNA-Ser". It matches the Rfam family "tRNA". Rfam says of the family: Transfer RNA (tRNA) molecules are approximately 80 nucleotides in length. Their secondary structure includes four short double-helical elements and three loops (D, anti-codon, and T loops). Lineage: Bacteria; Pseudomonadati; Pseudomonadota; Betaproteobacteria; Burkholderiales; Sutterellaceae. The record is from RNAcentral. RNAcentral also lists the same sequence under 1 other name.
GGAAGGAUGGCAGAGCGGUUUAAUGCACCGGUCUUGAAAACCGGCGGAGCUAAUAACUCCCGAGAGUUCGAAUCUCUCUCCUUCCG